Oncorhynchus kisutch (coho salmon) is the source of this 2949-nucleotide long non-coding RNA. RefSeq lists it as uncharacterized. The transcript has 2 exons. The record is from RefSeq and is a predicted model, not a curated record. Lineage: Eukaryota; Metazoa; Chordata; Actinopteri; Salmoniformes; Salmonidae.
CUAGACUACACAACCUGUCUGUAACUGACCUGUCCUAGACUACACUGUCUGUCUGUCACCACCUAUCUCCUAGUGGAACUGACCUGUCUGUCUGUAACCACCUAUCUCCUAGUGGAACUGACCUGUCCUAGACUACACAACCUGUCUGUCUGUAACCACCUAUCUCCUAGUGGAACUGACCUGUCCUAGACUACACAACCUGUCUGUCUGUAACUGACCUGUCCUAGACUACACAACCUGUCUGUAAGUAACCACCUAUCUCCUAGUGGAACUGACCUGUCCUAGACUACACAACCUGUCUGUAACUGACCUGUCCUAGACUACACAACCUGUCUGUAACCACCUAUCUCCUAGUGGAACUGACCUGUCCUAGACUACACAAUCUGUCUGUAACUGACCUGUCCUAGACUACACAACCUGUCUGUCUGUAACCACAUAUCUCCUAGUGGAACUGACCUGUCCUAGACUACACAACCUGUCUGUAACCAUCUAUCUUCUAGUGUAACUGACCUGUCCUAGACUACACAACCGGUCUGUCUGUAACUGACCUGUCCUAGACUACACAACCUGUCUGUCUGUAACUGACCUGUCCUAGACUACACAACCUGUCUGUCUGUAACCACCUAUGUCCUAGUGGAACUGACCUGUCCUAGACUACACUGUCUGUCUGUCACCACCCACCUCCUAGUGGAACUGACCUGUCCUAGACUACACAACCUGUCUGUAACCAUCUAUCUUCUAGUGUAACUGACCUGUCCUAGACUACACAACCGGUCUGUCUGUAACUGACCUGUCCUAGACUACAUAACCCGUCUGUCUGUAACUGACCUGUCCUAGACUACACAACCUGUCUGUCUGUAACCACCUAUCUCCUAGUGGAACUGACCUGUCCUAGACUACACAACCUGUCUGUCACCAUCUAUCUCCUAGUGUAACUGACCUGUCCUAGACUACACAACCUGUCUGUCUGUAACCACCUAUCUCCUAGUGGAACUGACCUGUCCUAGACUACACAACCUGUCUGUCACCAUCUAUCUCCUAGUGUAACUGACCUGUCCUAGACUACACAACCGGUCUGUCUGUAACUGACCUGUCCUAGACUACAUAACCCGUCUGUCUGUAACUGACCUGUCCUAGACUACACAACCUGUCUGUCUGUAACCACCUAUCUCCUAGUGGAACUGACCUGUCCUAGACUACACAACCUGUCUGUCACCAUCUAUCUCCUAGUGUAACUGACCUGUCCUAGACUACACAACCUGUCUGUCUGUAACCACCUAUCUCCUAGUGGAACUGACCUGUCCUAGACUACACAACCUGUCUGUCACCAUCUAUCUCCUAGUGUAACUGACCUGUCCUAGACUACACAACCUGUCUGUCUGUAACUGACCUGUCCUAGACUACACAACCUGUCUGUCUGUAACUACCUAGUACCCUCCCCUGGACUGGUAUUACAGCUGAGACAGACAGGGGGCCCUUUCUACCUAGUACCCUCCCCUGGACUGGUAUUACAGCUGAGACAGACAGGGGGCCCUUUCUACCUAGUACCCUCCCCUGGACUGGUAUUACAGCUGAGACAGACAGGGGGCCCUUUCUACCUAGUACCCUCCCCUGGACUGGUAUUACAGCUGAGACAGACAGGGGGCCCUUUCUACCUAGUACCCUCCCCUGGACUGGUAUUACAGCUGAGACAGACAGGGGGCCCUUUCUACCUAGUACCCUCCCCUGGACUGGUAUUACAGCUGAGACAGACAGGGGGCCCUUUCUACUCAGGCACAGGGAGGGGCAGCUCAGAACCUUUGUGGUCCUGAGUGAUUCUCUGCAACAACAACUAAAAUGGAUUUAAAAAAGUCCUUCUGUGUUUAGUGGCUGAAAAUGUGGUUUUGUCAGGUCUUCCUCUUCUGAUGCUAUGAUGCCUAGUUCUGUCUGUGUGUAGUCUGGUGCUGUGAGGUUACUAGGCUUCACAGACAACAGUCUGGUGCUGUGAGGUUACUAGGCUUCACAGACAACAGUCUGGUGCUGUGAGGUUACUAGGCUUCACAGACAACAGUCUGGUGCUGUGAGGUUACUAGGCUUCACAGACAACAGUCUGGUGCGGUGAGGUUACUAGGCUUCACAGACAACAGUCUGGUGCUGUGUGGUUACUAGGCUUCACAGACAACAGUCUGGUGCUGUGUGGUUACUAGGCUUCACAGACAACAGUCUGGUGCUGUGAGGUUACUAGGCUUCACAGACAACAGUCUGGUGCUGUGUGGUUACUAGGCUUCACAGACAACAGUCUGGUGCUGUGUGGUUACUAGGCUUCACAGACAACAGUCUGGUGCUGUGAGGUUACUAGGCUUCACAGACAACAGUCUGGUGCUGUGAGGUUACUAGGCUUCACAGACAACAGUCUGGUGCUGUGUGGUUACUAGGCUUCACAGACAACAGUCUGGUGCUGUGUGGUUACUAGGCUUCACAGACAACAGUCUGGUGCUGUGAGGUUACUAGGCUUCACAGACAACAGUCUGGUGCUGUGUGGUUACUAGGCUUCACAGACAACAGUCUGGUGCUGUGAGGUUACUAGGCUUCACAGACAACAGUCUGGUGCUGUGAGGUUACUAGGCUUCACAGACAACAGUCUGGUGCUGUGUGGUUACUAGGCUUCACAGACAACAGUCUGGUGCUGUGAGCUUACUAGGCUUCACAGACAACAGUCUGGUGCUGUGAGGUUACGCUUCACAGACAACAGUCUGGUGCUGUGAGGUUACUAGGCUUCACAGACAACAUUAUGACACUCCUUCCUGUCUGAAAGCGACCCCAUGUUCAGAAUUAUAUUUGUAUUAUUCUCACUCUAGUCUUUAUUUACACAUUUAAUAUUUCUUGGGGGCUGCUUGUGUCUGGAUGGUGUGCUAACCUGUUUGACAUUAUAAUAAUGUAAUAUAAUUUAUAUCGUUUGUAUUAUUCUAA